This 497-nucleotide ribosomal RNA is filed under the name uncultured bacterium. RNAcentral describes it as "partial 16S ribosomal RNA". It matches the Rfam family "Bacterial small subunit ribosomal RNA", at positions 28 to 507 of the family's 1533-position model. The record is from RNAcentral.
GAUGAACGCUGGCGGCGUGCCUAAUACAUGCCAGUCGAGCGAACAGACGAGGAGCUUGCUCCUCUGACGUUAGCGGCGGACGGGUGAGUAACACGUGGAUAACCUACCUAUAAGAUUGGGAUAACUUCGGGAAACCGGAGCUAAUACCGGAUAAUAUAUUGAACCGCAUGGUUCAAUAGUGAAAGACGGUUUUGCUGUCACUUAUAGAUGGAUCCGCGCCGCAUUAGCUAGUUGGUAAGGUAACGGCUUACCAAGGCGACGAUGCGUAGCCGACCUGAGAGGGUGAUCGGCCACACUGGAACUGAGACACGGUCCAGACUCCUACGGGAGGCAGCAGUAGGGAAUCUUCCGCAAUGGGCGAAAGCCUGACGGAGCAACGCCGCGUGAGUGAUGAAGGUCUUCGGAUCGUAAAACUCUGUUAUUAGGGAAGAACAAAUGUGUAAGUAACUAUGCACGUCUUGACGGUACCUAAUCAGAAAGCCACGGCUAACUACGUG